Struthio camelus australis is the source of this 683-nucleotide non-coding RNA. The record is from RefSeq and is a predicted model, not a curated record. NCBI's taxonomy places the organism in Eukaryota, Metazoa, Chordata, Aves, Struthioniformes, Struthionidae.
UUCUCCACGUUCGCCGCAGGACUGCCGCCUUCCCGGGGCUCCCGACGCGGAGUCGGGGCUUCUCCGAACAGCAGAGCCCCGUCUAACCUGAGAAAUCCUCUCUCUUGGAUGCAGACGCUGACAAAGAACCAGGAAACACAUCUGGGAGCGAAAAACCCUGAAAACGAGGAACGACUCUCAGCUGUAGAAGUGCCAACGAAGCAGGUGGUCGAGGAGUGACCUUGCCGGUGCCGGGCACCUGUGCUCCUGCCUGGUCCCUGCCGUGUCUCCUCCGCAUGGGGACGGCGCUGCGGAGAGCCUGCUGUCGCUCCCCUCUAGUCCUCGGGCCCUCGCUGCAGCCAGGAAAGAAACUACAGAGCCUGAGCACCCCAUGCCCUUUCUGGGGGAAAGACGUCGGGACUCAGGAAAAUGAAGAAAUCGCACCACUGCUGUAAAGAAGAUAUAACUUCUUUAAAAUAAGCAUGGACGCAGUACUUGAAGGACUUGCCAUCAGCAGAAGGCUGCGGACCCCAUAGCUCCCGGGGCCCGUGCUGCAUGGUCAGCUCAGCAGUUCUGUUUUGAGCGGCGUCGAGGGUGCGCAGCCUCGAGCGCUGCCGUCACCAUGCCCGUGAACUCUGACCAGUGCUUCCAGCCGUUGAGCCGUGGGCAAGACCCAGAACCGUGUCCGGUCCCCGCUGUAGUGG